UGGAAAUAGUGAAAAAUAAGGAAAUGACAUGUUUUGAACCCAGCAGGAGCUCAACAAGUCAUUGGGGAAGAACAGAGAAACCAAAAAAAAAGAAAAAGAAGAAGAAAAGACAGAAAGAGGGAAAGAAGAAAGCCAGAGAGAGGGAGAGAAUGAACAUUGUGAGCUGGAGAUUGUUAGUGGCCAUUGAUGGGAAGGGCCGUUUUAGAAGCAAGAAGGUUCUUUGUGAAAGCUUAAAGGCAAAGGAGCAGGUCGGCCCUUAGAAACAAAAGCAUGAGCUUCCCAGAAAAUUCAGAGUCCGCUCCUUGUGCUCCCGGGGCAGGCUCACCCUAACCGGUUUGUAUGUCU
This 345-nucleotide long non-coding RNA is filed under the name Chinchilla lanigera (long-tailed chinchilla). Its description in RNAcentral is "lncRNA (ENSCLAG00000027542.1)". Lineage: Eukaryota; Metazoa; Chordata; Mammalia; Rodentia; Chinchillidae. The record is from RNAcentral.